RNAcentral lists this long non-coding RNA (2244 nucleotides) under Spirodela polyrhiza (greater duckweed). RNAcentral describes it as "long non-coding RNA (SPOL_LNC000113)". Lineage: Eukaryota; Viridiplantae; Streptophyta; Magnoliopsida; Alismatales; Araceae. The record is from RNAcentral.
CUUGGUGGGUUUAUUACAGAGAGAGAGAGAGAGAGAGAGAGAGAGAGAGAGAGAGAGCAGAGCAAGCAAGGUGAACGAUUCACAAAGGGUUUUAUUGCACGAGGGUUUUAACCUCCCUUUGGCUGGCAUUCUCAUGACAGGGUCUUGGACCUCCUUUCUUAGAAGAAGGCGGAAUAUUUAGUAACACAGGCGACGAAUCUCAAUGCAAGGAAGAAUUGGGAUCUCUUUUCAAGCCCAGCUGCAGAGCAGAACACCCGGAUGCCUAGAAGCAGCACUCCUCCAGCACGCAGCAGCAGCAAAUGGCCGCCAGGCUAAUAAGAAAACGUAACAAAGUCAAUUAGUGCCAGAGAGAGAGAGAGAGAGAGAGAGAUAUGACACUUCCGAACAACACUUAAUCCGCAAAAGAUAGGGGAGUAGGAAUGAUGCAGGUUCCCAAUCAUUGGUGCCAGCGUUGACUUUCUUGAGUCACAUGCCGAAGGCUUUUAUAGUCGGUCAACGCGGCGGAAAAUAAGCAGCAAGCUGACCAAAGCCGCCGGCAAGACAUUCAUGCCGAUAGCUACUUGAGCCACGCCAAAUUCCAUUUCUACAGUAUAGGCGAAGAAACUCGGUGGUUCAUCCCCACUCGUUGACUUUGCCUUGGGCAGAAGGUCAACGGCCCAAAACCUUCAUACAUCAGAUUACCAAAAAUGGUCGAGAUUUAUUUUCAGGUAAAAUAUUCAGAUGUCCAACCUCAAUUCACCACUCCAUCUCCUGAAUCCAGAAAAGCCCUCAGCUGCAGCUGUCAGAGGAGGACCCUUCAAACAGUUCCCUGCAGGCUAUAAAACCCAGCAGGGGUCCUUACAGAAGAUGAUUUCUAGGAGCGCGUCCCUUUGUCGUUGACCAUUUCCAUUCCAGGGAAGGAUUACUGCAACAUUCGAUUACCUAUCCCCACGAGCAAGCUGAGUCAGUAAAGUCAACGGGUCCUAUUUUUCCCAUUUCUUCAGCCACAGGACGGCAUGUGAGAUUGUCACCUGCCCUGGUUUUGAUCCCCAUUUCCACACUUUUUGGAGAACUCCACAGUCAACGCUCCAUGAGAUUGCACAGGAAAGAUCAUAUGGCCUCCGGCAAAUCUUAUAAAAAACACGUUGAAAACAAGGUCGGAUGACUUGAUGAUCCGUCACUAACUCGGAUAUAACUGGGUCAACUGAAACUCAGGACAAAGCAUUUCUUCACCAUGAUCUGAUGGAAAAAAUUUCCCUGAAAAGCAAUAGAUCCUCCCUGAAUCCUUUGACUUAUUGACAUGGAUAAUCACCGCCAGAGAGAUCAUCAUCACUCAGUAACCUAACAGUUUUGGUCAGGAUCACAUGAAUCCUGGAGAAGUCAAACUAAUAGACAAGAUCGCAUAUGUUCAAACGAUCCCAUCAGCUGCAUGAGACGCCCGGGCAAGGGGCACCCGGUCGAUUACUACUGAUGGAAUUAUAUCAACUGAUCUUCAAGGAAAAAUAUCUAACCAGGCGGAGAAGUCAACGAAUAAAGUUGGAGAUUCAAACAAAGAUUCCCAAGGAAAUGAGACAGGCAGAGAAAGUUUAUAAGAAUAAAAUAGAACAUCGAAAUGGGAAAUUGGUUCGUACCAUCCUUGUAGAAACGAGAAGCAGGAGGCGUCAUCCUGAUCAUGGUGGUGGUGAUGAUGGUGGUGAUAUGGCAGCGGCGGCGGCGGCGGCGGGGGGGGGCCAUCGUUGAAGUAACCCUGGUAGCCAGGAGGGGGAGGAUAAGGCGGCGGGAAUCCCGGCGGCGGGAAUCCCGGCGGCGGCGGCGGCGGAGGAGGAUAGGGAGGCCCGUACCCCGGCGGCGGAUGAGGGUAAUGAUGCGAAUGCCCUGCACAUAGCCCAUCCAGCCACAGAUUCACAGAUCAAAACGCAGAGAUCAAACCCCCUGCAUCGAUCACACCGACGCGAACGCAAACCAGACGGCAUAAACCGGAUGAUUUCGAUUUCAGAGGCGAAUCCCGUGACGAAUCACCGCCAAAAUCCAAAAAAAACUAGCAAGAUAGAUGGACAGAUGCUCGAGCACGAACGGGUCAGGUCUAGCGAUCUUGCCUGGCGGAGGGUGGGGUCCGUGGGGAACCUGCUGAUAGCUCAUAGCUCGAUCCCUUUCGCUCGAGGCGGCUCGCAAUUCGCCGGCGGGGAGGGAGGAAGGGGAAGAAUGGCACCGCCUGCUGCCGUCACCGUCUUCUUCCUCUUCUUCUCCUCCCCUUCUAUUUAGUAG